Molecule: ribosomal RNA, 468 nt
Filed under: uncultured bacterium
Lineage: Bacteria
Description: partial 16S ribosomal RNA
Rfam family: Bacterial small subunit ribosomal RNA
Source: RNAcentral
GACGAACGCUGGCGGCGUGCUUAACACAUGCAAGUCGAACGGAAAGGCCCUGCUUUUGUGGGGUGCUCGAGUGGCGAACGGGUGAGUAACACGUGAGUAACCUGCCCUUGACUUUGGGAUAACUUCAGGAAACUGGGGCUAAUACCGGAUAGGAGCUCCUGCUGCAUGGUGGGGGUUGGAAAGUUUCGGCGGUUGGGGAUGGACUCGCGGCUUAUCAGCUUGUUGGUGGGGUAGUGGCUUACCAAGGCUUUGACGGGUAGCCGGCCUGAGAGGGUGACCGGCAAAUUGGGGACUGAGUGAGGGCCCAGCCUCCACCGGGGGGAAGCAGGGGGGAUUUUGGAAAAAGGGGGGGAGGCCUGAUGCAGCACCGCCGGGUGGGGGAUGAGGCCCUCGGGUUGUAAACCCCCUUUCCCCUGAGAGGAGGCGGGGGGGAGGGUAAGGGGAAAAGAAGCACCGGCUAACUACGUC